RNAcentral lists this ribosomal RNA (397 nucleotides) under uncultured bacterium. RNAcentral describes it as "partial 16S ribosomal RNA". It matches the Rfam family "Bacterial small subunit ribosomal RNA", at positions 523 to 918 of the family's 1533-position model. The record is from RNAcentral.
AUACGUAGGGGGCGAGCGUUGUUCGGAAUGAUUGGGCGUAAAGGGCGCGUAGGCGGCGCGGUAAGUCUGGAGUGAAAGUCCUGCUUUCAAGGUGGGAAUUGCUUUGGAUACUGCCGCGCUUGAGUGCAGGAGAGGUUAUCGGAAUUCCCGGUGUAGCGGUGAAAUGCGUAGAGAUCGGGAGGAACACCAGUGGCGAAGGCGGGUAACUGGACUGCAACGGACGCUGAGGCGCGAAAGUGUGGGGAGCAAACAGGAUUAGAUACCCUGGUAGUCCACACUGUAAACGAUGAAUGCUAGGUGUAAGAGGUAUCGACCCCUUUUGUGCCGGAGUCAACACAAUAAGCAUUCCGCCUGGGGAGUACGGCCGCAAGGUUGAAACUCAAAUGAAUUGACGGGG